This is a long non-coding RNA of Lagopus muta (rock ptarmigan), 682 nucleotides long. RefSeq lists it as uncharacterized. Lineage: Eukaryota; Metazoa; Chordata; Aves; Galliformes; Phasianidae. The record is from RefSeq and is a predicted model, not a curated record. The transcript has 3 exons.
GCGGAAGCCCCGCCCGCUCGUUUCCGGUUCCGGCUGAUGGCGGCUGAGGUGGCUCCGCUGCCCGUCCUCGUUAAGCCCCUAACGAAGGAGCUGGUUAAUUACCUAAGGAGCUAAUUAAUUCCUGGCUGGACUCACCUAAGAAAGGAAGCAGUUAAUUAAGCAAAGGAGCUGGUUAAUUACCUAAGGAGCUGAUUAAUUCCUGGCUGGACUCACUUAACAAAGGAGGCAGUUAAUUAAGUAAAGGAGGCGGUUAAUUAACGAAGGAGGCGGUUAAUCAGCGAAGGAAGUGGUCAAUUAAUGAAGGAGCUGAUUAAUUACCGAGCUGAUCCACCUAACAAGGGAGGCGAUUAAUUAUGGAAGGAGCUGAUUAAUUACUGAAGGUGCUCAUUAAUUCCUGAGCGGAUUCACCUAACAAAGGAGGCGAUUAAUUAGCGAAGGAGGCGGUCAAUUAAUGAAGGAGGCAAUCAAUUAAUGGAGGAGGUGGUCAAUUAACGAAGGAGGUGGUUAAUUAACAAAGGAGGUGGUUAAUUAACAAAGGAGGCAGUCAAUUAACGAAGGAGGCAGUCAAUUAAUGGAGGAGGCAGUCAAUUAGGGAAGGAGGCGAUCAAUUAACGAAGGAGGCAGUCAAUUAACAAAGGAGGCAGUCAGUUAAUGAAGGAGGCGGUCAAUUAACGAAGGAGGC